This 279-nucleotide ribosomal RNA is filed under the name uncultured bacterium. Its description in RNAcentral is "partial 16S ribosomal RNA". It matches the Rfam family "Bacterial small subunit ribosomal RNA", at positions 506 to 784 of the family's 1533-position model. The record is from RNAcentral.
UGCCAGCCGCCGCGGUAAUACGGAGGGUGCAAGCGUUAAUCGGAAUUACUGGGCGUAAAGCGCGCGUAGGCGGUUUGUUAAGUCAGAUGUGAAAGCCCAGGGCUCAACCUUGGAACUGCAUCUGAUACUGGCAGGCUAGAGUACAGGAGAGGGAAGUGGAAUUUCAGGUGUAGCGGUGAAAUGCGUAGAGAUCUGAAGGAACAUCAGUGGCGAAGGCGACCUCCUGGACUGAUAUUGACGCUGAGGUGCGAAAGCGUGGGGAGCAAACAGGAUUAGAUA